CAGUCGCCGCGGGAAUACGUAGGUGGCAAGCGUUGUCCGGAAUUAUUGGGCGUAAAGCGCGCGCAGGCGGAUAGGUCAGUCUGUCUUAAAAGUUUGGGGCUUAACCCCGUGAUGGGAUGGAAACUGCCAAUCUAGAGUAUCGGAGAGGAAAGUGGAAUUCCUAGUGUAGCGGUGAAAUGCGUAGAUAUUAGGAAGAACACCAGUGGCGAAGGCGACUUUCUGGACGAAAACUGACGCUGAGGCGCGAAAGCCAGGGGAGCGAACGGGAUUAGAUACCCCCGUAGUCCCUGUCUCUUAUACA
RNAcentral lists this ribosomal RNA (301 nucleotides) under uncultured bacterium. RNAcentral describes it as "partial 16S ribosomal RNA". It matches the Rfam family "Bacterial small subunit ribosomal RNA", at positions 509 to 809 of the family's 1533-position model. The record is from RNAcentral.